AAUACGCAUGAUGAACAAGGGACUUAAUACUGAUUCAUUUGAUGUCACCUUCAUGUUAUUCUGACGGUGU
This 70-nucleotide small nucleolar RNA is filed under the name Oncorhynchus mykiss (rainbow trout). Its description in RNAcentral is "Small nucleolar RNA SNORD82 (ENSOMYG00000070593.1)". It matches the Rfam family "Small nucleolar RNA SNORD82". From Rfam's summary of the family: snoRNA U82 or Z25 is found in both humans and mice. U82/Z25 is a member of the C/D class of snoRNA which contain C (UGAUGA) and D (CUGA) box motifs. Most of the members of the box C/D family function in directing site-specific 2'-O-methylation of substrate RNAs. Lineage: Eukaryota; Metazoa; Chordata; Actinopteri; Salmoniformes; Salmonidae. The record is from RNAcentral.